CCUACGGGAGGCAGCAGUGAGGAAUAUUGGUCAAUGGGCGAGAGCCUGAACCAGCCAAGUCGCGUGAAGGAUGACGGCCCUACGGGUUGUAAACUUCUUUUGUCAGGGAGCAAUUGGGUCCACGCGUGGGCUUAGCGAGAGUACCUGCAGAAAAAGCAUCGGCCAACUACGUGCCAGCAGCCGCGGUAGUACGGAGGAUGCGAGCGUUAUCCGGAUUUAUUGGGUUAAAAGGGUGCGUAGGCGGAAUAUUAAGUCAGCGGGAAAAAGUCGGGGCUCAACCGCGUCGUGCCGUUGAAACUGGUGUGCUUGAGUGGGCGAGAAGUAUGCGGAAUGCGAGGUGUAGCGGUGAAAUGCAUAGAGAUCACGCAGAACUCCGAUUGCGAAGGCAGCAUACCGGCGCCCAACUGACGCUGAAGCACGAAAGCGUGGGUAGCGAACAGGAUUAGAUACCCGGGUAGUC
RNAcentral lists this ribosomal RNA (460 nucleotides) under uncultured bacterium. Its description in RNAcentral is "partial 16S ribosomal RNA". It matches the Rfam family "Bacterial small subunit ribosomal RNA", at positions 338 to 795 of the family's 1533-position model. The record is from RNAcentral.